CUACGGGGUGCAGCAGUGAGGAAUAUUGGGCAAUGGGGGGAACCCUGACCCAGCCAUCCCGCGUGAAGGAUGACUGCCCUAUGGGUUGUAAACUUCUUUUGUACGCCAGGAAUGGCCCCGAUGUAUCGGGGUUUGACAGUAGCGUACGAAUAAGCACCGGCUGAACUCCGUGCCAGCAGCCGCGGUAAUGACGGAGGGUGCAAGCGUUAUCCGGAUUUAUUGGGUUUAAAGGGUGCGCAGGUGGCUAAUUAAGUCAGUGGUGAAAGUAUGCCGCUUAACGGUAUGACUGCCAUUGAUACUGGUUAGCUUGAGUAUGGUUGAGGCAGGCGGAAUGUGCGGUGUAGCGGUGAAAUGCAUAGAUAUCGCCCAGAACGCCGAUUGCGAAGGCAGCUUGCUAAGCCAUUACUGACGCUGAGGCACGAAAGCGUGGGUAGCGAACAGGAUUAGAUACCCCUGUAGUC
This 461-nucleotide ribosomal RNA is filed under the name uncultured bacterium. RNAcentral's name for it is "partial 16S ribosomal RNA". It matches the Rfam family "Bacterial small subunit ribosomal RNA", at positions 339 to 795 of the family's 1533-position model. The record is from RNAcentral.